This 119-nucleotide ribosomal RNA is filed under the name Helianthus annuus (common sunflower). The record is from RNAcentral. Lineage: Eukaryota; Viridiplantae; Streptophyta; Magnoliopsida; Asterales; Asteraceae.
GGUUGCGAUCAUACCAGCACUAAUGCACCGGUCUCAUCAGAACUCUGCAGUUAAGCGUGCUUGGGCGAGAGUAGUACUAGGAUGGGUGACCCCCUGGGAAGUCCUCGUGUUGCAACCCC